Molecule: ribosomal RNA, 791 nt
Filed under: uncultured bacterium
Lineage: Bacteria
Description: bacterial SSU rRNA
Rfam family: Bacterial small subunit ribosomal RNA
Source: RNAcentral
CAGUUGAGCGCUGAAGGUUGGUACUUGUACCGACUGGAUGAGCAGCGAACGGGUGAGUAACGCGUGGGGAAUCUGCCUUUGAGCGGGGGACAACAUUUGGAAACGAAUGCUAAUACCGCAUAAAAACUUUAAACACAAGUUUUAAGUUUGAAAGAUGCAAUUGCAUCACUCAAAGAUGAUCCCGCGUUGUAUUAGCUAGUUGGUGAGGUAAAGGCUCACCAAGGCGAUGAUACAUAGCCGACCUGAGAGGGUGAUCGGCCACAUUGGGACUGAGACACGGCCCAAACUCCUACGGGAGGCAGCAGUAGGGAAUCUUCGGCAAUGGACGAAAGUCUGACCGAGCAACGCCGCGUGAGUGAAGAAGGUUUUCGGAUCGUAAAACUCUGUUGGUAGAGAAGAACGUUGGUGAGAGUGGAAAGCUCAUCAAGUGACGGUAACUACCCAGAAAGGGACGGCUAACUACGUGCCAGCAGCCGCGGUAAUACGUAGGUCCCGAGCGUUGUCCGGAUUUAUUGGGCGUAAAGCGAGCGCAGGUGGUUUAUUAAGUCUGGUGUAAAAGGCAGUGGCUCAACCAUUGUAUGCAUUGGAAACUGGUAGACUUGAGUGCAGGAGAGGAGAGUGGAAUUCCAUGUGUAGCGGUGAAAUGCGUAGAUAUAUGGAGGAACACCGGUGGCGAAAGCGGCUCUCUGGCCUGUAACUGACACUGAGGCUCGAAAGCGUGGGGAGCAAACAGGAUUAGAUACCCUGGUAGUCCACGCCGUAAACGAUGAGUACUAGGUGUUGGCCCUAAG